RNAcentral lists this ribosomal RNA (432 nucleotides) under uncultured bacterium. RNAcentral describes it as "partial 16S ribosomal RNA". It matches the Rfam family "Bacterial small subunit ribosomal RNA", at positions 29 to 507 of the family's 1533-position model. The record is from RNAcentral.
AACGAACGCUGGCGGCAGGCCUAACACAUGCAAGUCGAGCGAGGACUUCGGUCCUAGCGGCGGACGGGUGAGUAACGCGUGGGAACGUGCCCUUUGCUUCGGAAUAGCCCUGGGAAACUGGGAGUAAUACCGGAUGAGCCCUUUGGGGGAAAGAUUUAUCGGCGAAGGAUCGGCCCGCGUUGGAUUAGGUAGUUGGUGGGGUAAUGGCCUACCAAGCCGACGAUCCAUAGCUGGUUUGAGAGGAUGAUCAGCCACACUGGGACUGAGACACGGCCAGACUCCUACGGGAGGCAGCAGUGGGGAAUCUUAGACAAUGGGGGAAACCCUGAUCUAGCCAUGCCGCGUGAGCGAUGAAGGCCUUAGGGUUGUAAAGCUCUUUCAGCUGGGAAGAUAAUGACGGUACCAGCAGAAGAAGCCCCGGCUAACUCCGUG